This 4094-nucleotide long non-coding RNA is filed under the name Volvox carteri. Its description in RNAcentral is "long non-coding RNA (VCAR_LNC001676)". Lineage: Eukaryota; Viridiplantae; Chlorophyta; Chlorophyceae; Chlamydomonadales; Volvocaceae. The record is from RNAcentral.
GAACAUCACAAGAACUUACAAGACCAAGUGCUUGCGGCAUUUGCGAGUUUUCGCUCACUCAUGUUCGAGGGAAACAUGCUUGCGUGCAUGGGGAGGAUGGAUGCGUUUGACCUUAAGAAGCACCCAAAAUCACGCGUGAAAAAAUGUCUGUUGUUUAGAUUAGUGAGAGGCAAGUAGGUCGGACUCGGGGGUCAGUUUCAGAGGAAUUGAGGGAAGGGGGUUGGGCCAUGAGACCAUGUGCCUAAUUAGCACCAUUGUCAAAAAUGGACGUUUUCCAAUUCCAGGCAAAACACGAGGCGUUCCCAGUGUGACUUCGAUCACGCAGCCACGGCAGCCAGGUCUAACAACGGGCUUGUGAGGUGCCUCGGACUACAAGGUUGCACGGUUUCAACAUCUGCGAAGUAGUUAGUGGUUUGCGCCUGCCAUUCUAGUCUUCACGGAUGUUCAUUGUGGCUUUCCAGGUUACUUGGAUAGGGACUCGGUGAUAUGCCCGCAUGCAGGUUUGGGCAGGGAACAUCACAAGAACUUACAAGACCAAGUGCUUGCGGCAUUUGCGAGUUUUCGCUCACUCAUGUUCGAGGGAAACAUGCUUGCGUGCAUGGGGAGGAUGGAUGCGUUUGACCUUAAGAAGCACCCAAAAUCCUAAAAUUGUAGAUCGCCUGUCGUCACACGCAUGCCACGCUGAAAAUGUCUGUUAUUUAAUUAGUGAGAGGCAAGUAGGUCGGACUCGGGGGUCAGUUUCAGAGGAAUUGAGGGAAGGGGGUGGGGCCAUGAGACCAUGUGCCUUAUUAGCACCAUUGUCAAAAAUGGACGUUUCCCAAUUCCAGGCAAAACACGAGGCGUUCCCAGUGUGACUUCGAUCACGCAGCCACGGCAGCCAGGUCUAACAACGGGCUUGUGAGGUGCCUCGGACUACAAGGUUGCACGGUUUCAACAUCUGCGAAGUAGUUAGUGGUUUGCGCCUGCCAUUCUAGUCUUCACGGAUGUUCAUUGUGGCUUUCCAGGUUACUUGGAUAGGGACUCGGUGAUAUGCCCGCAUGCAGGUUUGGGCAGGGAACAUCACAAGAACUUACAAGACCAAGUGCUUGCGGCAUUUGCGAGUUUUCGCUCACUCAUGUUCGAGGGAAACAUGCUUGCGUGCAUGGGGAGGAUGGAUGCGUUUGACCUUAAGAAGCACGCCAUGCCACGCGUGAAAAUGUCUGUUGUUUAGAUUAGUGAGAGGCAAGUAGGUCGGACUCGGGGGUCAGUUUCAGAGGAAUUGAGGGAAGGGGGUUGGGCCAUGAGACCAUGUGCCUAAUUAGCACCAUUGUCAAAAAUGGACGUUUUCCAAUUCCAGGCAAAACACGAGGCGUUCCCAGUGUGACUUCGAUCACGCAGCCACGGCAGCCAGGUCUAACAACGGGCUUGUGAGGUGCCUCGGACUACAAGGUUGCACGGUUUCAACAUCUGCGAAGUAGUUAGUGGUUUGCGCCUGCCAUUCUAGUCUUCACAGAUGUUCAUUGUGGCUUUCCAGGUUACUUGGAUAGGGACUCGGUGAUAUGCCCGCAUGCAGGUUUGGGCAGGGAACAUCACAAGAACUUACAAGACCAAGUGCUUGCGGCAUUUGCGAGUUUUCGCUCACUCAUGUUCGAGGGAAAAUUGCUUGCGUGCAUGGGGAGGAUGGAUGCGUUUGACCUUAAGAAGCACCCAAAAUCCUAAAAUUGUGAUCGCUGUAGAACACGCCACACGGUGAAAAUGUCUGUUGUUUAGAUUAGUGAGAGGCAAGUAGGUCGGACUCGGGGGUCAGUUUCAGAGGAAUUGAGGGAAGGGGGUUGGGCCAUGAGACCAUGUGCCUAAUUAGCACCAUUGUCAAAAAUGGACGUUUUCCAAUUCCAGGUAAAACACGAGGCGUUCCCAGUGUGACUUCGAUCACGCAGCCACGGCAGCCAGGUAUAACAACGGGCUUGUGAGGUGCCUCGGACUACAAGGUUGCACGGUUUCAACAUCUGCGAAGUAGUUAGUGGUUUGCGCCUGCCAUUCUAGUCUUCACGGAUGUUCAUUGUGGCUUUCCAGGUUACUUGGAUAGGGACUCGGUGAUAUGCCCGCAUGCGGGUUUGGGCAGGGAACAUCACAAGAACUUACAAGACCAAGUGCUUGCGGCAUUUGCGAGUUUUCGCUCACUCAUGUUCGAGGGAAACAUGCUUGCGUGCAUGGGGAGGAUGGAUGCGUUUGACCUUAAGAAGCACCCAAAAUCCUAAAAUUGUAGAUCGCCUGUCGUCACACGCCAUGCCACGUGUGAAAAUGUCUGUUGUUUAGCUUAGUGAGAGGCAAGUAGGUCGGACUCGGGGGUCAGUUUCAGAGCAAUUGAGGGAAGGGCGUUGGGCCAUGAGACCAUGUGCCUAAUUAGCACCAUUGUCAAAAAUGGACGUUUUCCAAUUCCAGGUAAAACACGAGGCGUUCCCAGUGUGACUUCGAUCACGCAGCCACGGCAGCCAGGUAUAACAACGGGCUUGUGAGGUGCCUCGGACUACAAGUUGCACGGUUUCAACAUCUGCGAAGUAGUUAGUGGUUUGCGCCUGCCAUUCUAGUCUUCACAGAUGUUCAUUGUGGCUUUCCAGGUUACUUGGAUAGGGACUCGGUGAUAUGCCCGCAUGCGGGUUUGGGCAGGGAACAUCACAAGAACUUACAAGACCAAGUGCUUGCGGCAUUUGCGAGUUUUCGCUCACUCAUGUUCGAGGGAAAAUUGCUUGCGUGCAUGGGGAGGAUGGAUGCGUUUGACCUUAAGAAGCACCCAAAAUCCUAAAAUUGUAGAUCGCCUGUCGUCACACGCCAUGCCACGUGUGAAAAUGUCUGUUGUUUAGCUUAGUGAGAGGCAAGUAGGUCGGACUCGGGGGUCAGUUUCAGAGCAAUUGAGGGAAGGGCGUGGGGCCAUGAGACCAUGUGCCUAAUUAGCACCAUUGUCAAAAAUGGACGUUUUCCAAUUCCAGGUAAAACACGAGGCGUUCCCAGUGUGACUUCGAUCACGCAGCCACGGCAGCCAGGUAUAACAACGGGCUUGUGAGGUGCCUCGGACUACAAGUUGCACGGUUUCAACAUCUGCGAAGUAGUUAGUGGUUUGCGCCUGCCAUUCUAGUCUUCACAGAUGUUCAUUGUGGCUUUCCAGGUUACUUGGAUAGGGACUCGGUGAUAUGCCCGCAUGCGGGUUUGGGCAGGGAACAUCACAAGAACUUACAAGACCAAGUGCUUGCGGCAUUUGCGAGUUUUCGCUCACUCAUGUUCGAGGGAAAAUUGCUUGCGUGCAUGGGGAGGAUGGAUGCGUUUGACCUUAAGAAGCACCCAAAAUCCUAAAAUUGUAGAUCGCCUGUCGUCACACGCCAUGCCACGCGUGAAAAUGUCUGUUAUUUAGCUUAGUGAGAGGCAAGUAGGUCGGACUCGGGGGUCAGUUUCAGAGCAAUUGAGGGAAGGGGGUGGGGCCAUGAGACCAUGUGCCUAAUUAGCACCAUUGUCAAAAAUGGACGUUUUCCAAUUCCAGGUAAAACACGAGGCGUUCCCAGUGUGACUUCGAUCACGCAGCCACGGCAGCCAGGUAUAACAACGGGCUUGUGAGGUGCCUCGGACUACAAGUUGCACGGUUUCAACAUCUGCGAAGUAGUUAGUGGUUUGCGCCUGCCAUUCUAGUCUUCACAGAUGUUCAUUGUGGCUUUCCAGGUUACUUGGAUAGGGACUCGGUGAUAUGCCCGCAUGCGGGUUUGGGCAGGGAACAUCACAAGAACUUACAAGACCAAGCGCUUGCGGCAUUUGCGAGUUUUCGCUCACUCAUGUUCGAGGGAAAAUUGCUUGCGUGCAUGGGGAGGAUGGAUGCGUUUGACCUUAAGAAGCACCCAAAAUCCUAAAAUUGUAGAUCGCCUGUCGUCACACGCCAUGCCACGUGUGAAAAUGUCUGUUGUUUAGCUUAGUGAGAGGCAAGUAGGUCGGACUCGGGGGUCAGUUUCAGAGCAAUUGAGGGAAGGGCGUUGGGCCAUGAGACCAUGUGCCUAAUUAGCACCAUUGUCAAAAAUGGACGUUUUCCAAUUCCAGGUAAAACACGAGGCGUUCCCAGUGUGACUUCGAUCACG